CAUGUUUGCAGCGUGGUCAUACAUAUGCGGAGCUGUGAGAUAGCCUUCCAAAAAUCCAGCAGCAUACAUGAUAUCUUCAUUGCUUAAGGUCUGAUGGCCAUAGCCUGCUUUUAUCUCCAGAACUCCCCAACCUGUUGUCUGUACAGUGUUGUUGUAGAAGCCAUAGGCAUCUCCACUCCUGUCCAGUAUAUUCUUGACCUGAAGUAUUUUUUGAGCUUUAUUCCAGUACAAAGUUGCAUAGCGCAUUUCUGUGGCCAAGAAGAAAGAAGGCAAUGGAAACAAAAACAAAAACACGAGGGAAGUUAGUGAUGCAACACAUCUGAAAAGCAACAAGCUUCAUAGGAACAUCAUUUUACUACAACACUUCUGAC
This 371-nucleotide long non-coding RNA is filed under the name Gallus gallus (chicken). The record is from RNAcentral. Lineage: Eukaryota; Metazoa; Chordata; Aves; Galliformes; Phasianidae.